CACGUAGGGGACGAGCGUUGUCCGGAUUCAUUGGGCGUAAAGCGCGCGUAGGCGGCUCGGAAAGUCGGUCGUGAAAUGCCGGGGCUCAACCCCGGGACUGCGUCCGAUACUUCCGGGCUGGAGGUAGGUAGGGGAGAUCGGAAUUCCUGGUGUAGCGGUGAAAUGCGCAGAUAUCAGGAGGAACACCGGUGGCGAAGGCGGAUCUCUGGGCCUUACCUGACGCUGAGGCGCGAAAGCUAGGGGAGCGAACAGG
This 253-nucleotide ribosomal RNA is filed under the name uncultured bacterium. RNAcentral's name for it is "partial 16S ribosomal RNA". It matches the Rfam family "Bacterial small subunit ribosomal RNA", at positions 524 to 776 of the family's 1533-position model. RNAcentral also lists the same sequence under 1 other name. The record is from RNAcentral.